Molecule: ribosomal RNA, 464 nt
Filed under: uncultured bacterium
Lineage: Bacteria
Description: bacterial SSU rRNA
Rfam family: Bacterial small subunit ribosomal RNA
Source: RNAcentral
CUCCUACGGGAGGCAGCAGUGGGGAAUAUUGCACAAUGGGCGCAAGCCUGAUGCAGCCAUGCCGCGUGUAUGAAGAAGGCCUUCGGGUUGUAAAGUACUUUCAGCAGUGAGGAAGGUGGGUAUGUUAAUAGCAUACUCAUUUGACGUUAGCUGCAGAAGAAGCACCGGCUAACUCCGUGCCAGCAGCCGCGGUAAUACGGAGGGUGCGAGCGUUAAUCGGAAUUACUGGGCGUAAAGCGCAUGCAGGUGGUUUGUUAAGUCAGAUGUGAAAGCCCGGGGCUCAACCUCGGAAUUGCAUUUGAAACUGGCAAACUAGAGUACUGUAGAGGGGGUAGAAUUUCAGGUGUAGCGGUGAAAUGCGUAGAGAUCUGAAGGAAUACCGGUGGCGAAGGCGGCCCCCUGGACAGAUACUGACACUCAGAUGCGAAAGCGUGGGGAGCAAACAGGAUUAGAUACCCUGGUAA